UCCAGACUCCUACGGGAGGCAGCAGUGGGGGAUAUUGCACAAUGGGGGGAACCCUGAUGCAGCGACGCCGCGUGGGUGAAGAAGUAUUUCGGUAUGUAAAGCCCUAUCGGCAGGGAAGAAAUUGGACGGUACCUGACUAAGAAGCCCCGGCUAACUACGUGCCAGCAGCCGCGGUAAUACGUAGGGGGCAAGCGUUAUCCGGAUUUACUGGGUGUAAAGGGAGCGUAGACGGCGAUGCAAGCCAGAUGUGAAAGCCCGGGGCUCAACCCCGGGACUGCAUUUGGAACCGUGUGGCUGGAGUGUCGGAGAGGCAGGCGGAAUUCCUAGUGUAGCGGUGAAAUGCGUAGAUAUUAGGAGGAACACCAGUGGCGAAGGCGGCCUGCUGGACGAUGACUGACGUUGAGGCUCGAAAGCGUGGGGAGCAAACAGGAUUAGAUACCCUAGUA
This 446-nucleotide ribosomal RNA is filed under the name uncultured bacterium. RNAcentral describes it as "bacterial SSU rRNA". It matches the Rfam family "Bacterial small subunit ribosomal RNA", at positions 330 to 792 of the family's 1533-position model. The record is from RNAcentral.